Molecule: ribosomal RNA, 61 nt
Filed under: uncultured bacterium
Lineage: Bacteria
Description: partial 16S ribosomal RNA
Source: RNAcentral
UGGGUUUGACAUGGAUCGGGAGUGCUCAGAGAUGGGUGUGCGUCUUUUGGGGUCGGUUCAC